CUUUACUGUAGCCUGGAAUUGGGUUCGGGCUUUGACUGCGCAGGAUAGGUGGGAGACUAUGAAGCUACCCUUGUGGGGGUAGUGGAGUCAACGGUGAGAUACCACUCUGUUAAAGCUAGAAUUCUAACCGAUAGCCGUUAUCCGGCAUCGGAACAGUUUCAGGUGGGCAGUUUGACUGGGGCGGUCGCCUCCUAAACGAUAACGGAGGCGCGCAAAGGUUCUCUCAGGCUGGUUGGAAAUCAGCCGUAGAGUGUAAAAGCAUAAGAGAGCUUGACUGUGAGACUGACAAGUCGAGCAGGGACGAAAGUCGGCUUUAGUGAUCCGACGGCACUGAGUGGAAGGGCCGUCGCUCAACGGAUAAAAGUUA
This 367-nucleotide ribosomal RNA is filed under the name uncultured organism. RNAcentral describes it as "bacterial LSU rRNA". It matches the Rfam family "Bacterial large subunit ribosomal RNA", at positions 2099 to 2465 of the family's 2925-position model. The record is from RNAcentral.